This 22-nucleotide non-coding RNA is filed under the name Arabidopsis thaliana (thale cress). Lineage: Eukaryota; Viridiplantae; Streptophyta; Magnoliopsida; Brassicales; Brassicaceae. The record is from RNAcentral.
AUAUACUAGAUAAGGCCGCCUA